CUGCGGUUGUGAAGAGGAUGCUGUGGAGGUGGCAGCAUGAACGUGUCACACAGACAUUGGCUAAACUACUCGGCUUCUACACUUGCCCUCAGAGUUCACAUAUGGUGACGUGCACAGGUGUCCAGUCAGGUUCAGACUGAUGCUGGUAACAAGAGGAGAACAUGCUAAUUGAUGCUGUGUUGCUGCCAGUCCACGGAUGUACACGAAUGGCUCACCUGGAGGAGGAGGGCGGUCAACGACAUUACUCAAGUAUUGACAACAAAUGUGCUCUACGAAAUAUGAUGGAUCACAGACCCGACUCAGAACUGAACUCAUUUCAGCUGGCGGCUAACUGGUCUCAUAGGAGUCCAUGUUAACUGCUAGCUCGGAGGUAAAAUUUGCACUGCCGUUCUCAGAGAACGGUUGAAAGUACAGGAGAAAGGUAAAAGUCAGUUAUUUAACUCAAGGGGAUGUGUAAUAUGAGCUUAUUUCCAAAAAUGGGACAGUAUCACUUUUAAAUGGUCAAUGGCAAGGUCCCAAGAUGUUCUGUCACUGUAAUCAGAGACAUUUGAAGCCAAAUUGAUAAAGGAUACCGUUUUUUCUCAUUAAUACUAUUACUCCGAGGCUGUACGUUGUUCCAAAAUCCAGAAAAAGUUUUUGAAGUGCUUGUUUGUGUGUUUGUUUUUCAUGAUUCCAUAUUUUUUUCCUCAGAGCUGAGUCAUUCCAUAUUUUUUUUCCCUAUGCAUGCUCUAAAAAAGUAACUCUUACUUACUAAUGGAAUUACUUUUCAUGAUUUCUUUUGGUGUUUCUUAAGGCCAGACAGUUGCCCUUUGAAAUGAGUUCAGUUCUGAGUCAGGUCUG
Molecule: long non-coding RNA, 840 nt
Organism: Engraulis encrasicolus (European anchovy)
Lineage: Eukaryota; Metazoa; Chordata; Actinopteri; Clupeiformes; Engraulidae
Exons: 4
Source: RefSeq, a predicted model, not a curated record